RNAcentral lists this ribosomal RNA (465 nucleotides) under uncultured bacterium. RNAcentral's name for it is "bacterial SSU rRNA". It matches the Rfam family "Bacterial small subunit ribosomal RNA", at positions 28 to 507 of the family's 1533-position model. The record is from RNAcentral.
GACGAACGCUGGCGGCGUGCUUUCUACUUGCAAGUCGAACGAUGAAGUUACUUUGGUAAUGGAUUAGUGGCGAACGGGUGAGGAACACGUGAAGAAUCUGCCCCUCAUUUUGGGAUAACUUCGGGAAACCGAGGCUAAUACCGAAUAUUGAAACAUAAGUGGCAUCACUGAGUUUUGAAAGUUUUUCGAUGAGGGAUGACUUCGCGGCCUAUCGGCUAGUUGGUGAGGUAACGGCUCACCAAGGCAACGACGGGUAGCCGGCCUGAGAGGGCGAACGGCCACACUGGGACUGAGACACGGCCCAAACUCCUACGGGAGGCAGCAGUAGGGAAUAUUGCGCAAUGGAGGAAACUCUGACGCAGCGACGCCGCGUGCGGGAUGAAGGCCUUCGGGUUGUAAACCGCUUUCAGUAGGGAAGAAGCGAAAGUGACGGUACCUACAAAAGAAGCACCGGCUAACUAUGUG